GCGAAGGUGGCGGAAUUGGUAGACGCGCUAGCUUCAGGUGUUAGUGUCCUUACGGACGUGGGGGUUCAAGUCCCCCCCCUCUCACCA
Molecule: transfer RNA, 87 nt
Filed under: Escherichia coli
Lineage: Bacteria; Pseudomonadati; Pseudomonadota; Gammaproteobacteria; Enterobacterales; Enterobacteriaceae
Also listed under: 1 other name
Description: tRNA-Leu
Rfam family: tRNA
About the family: Transfer RNA (tRNA) molecules are approximately 80 nucleotides in length. Their secondary structure includes four short double-helical elements and three loops (D, anti-codon, and T loops).
Source: RNAcentral